GAGGGAGAGUAUUAGAUCAAUAUCGUAGUUCGUUAUUGCCUGAAAUUGUUCAAGCUUUGUUGUGUACACGAGAUUGGCUUUUUGGCAAAGGAGCCAUGGAGGAAGAGAUAGAAAUCCUUACUGAAGAUGUCUUCAAACUUAAUUGUGAAGAUACUAGAUCGGGACAAUGCUCCAAUAGUAUUUCUCUUGAUGAUUGAUGUGAGGAACAUUGCAAGUGAAAUGUUGAAGUCUGGAUCACAUUCAUGGAUGCUAUACAUGUUG
Molecule: non-coding RNA, 261 nt
Organism: Prunus avium (sweet cherry)
Lineage: Eukaryota; Viridiplantae; Streptophyta; Magnoliopsida; Rosales; Rosaceae
Source: RefSeq, a predicted model, not a curated record